UUGAGGCAUUAAUGAUGCUAUGCCUCCUAUAGUUAAAGGUAUAUAUGGUAGAGCUUAUAGGAGUGCUAAUAAUAAGGAUAGGCAUACUUACAAUGCAUGUAUUAUAAAAUCAACUAAUGGAUCCAUAGAGAAUCGAGGCAUACAAUCAAACCAAGAUGUGCAUGUGUAUGGAAUAUGGUGGAUGGGUGCAUUUGUGGUAUUUGUGGCUAAUUUCUAUUUCUUUGGGAAUAACUCUCUAUUGAAAUGUUUCAGGAAAGACAUGGGUUAUCUUUAUUAUUUAUUUAUUUAUUUAUUUAUUUAUUUUUUAUUCAGGGAGGCACGCAUCUAGUACCCAUUGUUUUAAUUACUAGGAUACUUGUGCAUCUUUUACUCCCCUUUUUUCUCUUUUAUAUUUUAGCAUAGCCACAUGUAUCCUUUGAAUACAAUAAAUGAUCAGAGAGGUAAGAACUUAGGGCAUUUAUGAUGGGCUUUAUCCUAUGGAUAUGGUUUAUGUUGGUGUUUACUCUCAGUGUAGAAAUAAUGCAUAUGUGAACUGAAGUGUGUACGUGAUCUUGGUUGACUACAAAGGUUGACUCACUCUAUUCCCUCUAUUCUCAUACAUGCUUUACAAAGGUUGACUAAACUCAAUGCAAAGCAAGCAACAUAAAUGUGCAAAAGUUUUCCUAACUCUAAAUGUAUAUUAUAUAUGGCUUUGGUAGGAAUUCAAACUUGUCAUACAAGAGCUCAUCAUAUAAAUUUCAGAUUUUCAAAAUAAAGCUCCAGAACUUAGUAAUGCUAGGAAUAAGAUAAAUAGCAGCUCAAACUUUCAAUGAUCAUAUCAACCAACUACCUAGACAUAGCUCAAACUUAUGCCUCCACAAGUUGCAGGUUCAGAGUAAACCUUCAAAUUAAAACAGUCAUGUCCAAAACUCGAGAUAAUCUAAUAUUAGAAUCUAGGUACUUGUAAAGAAUAGAGCAACUAUUCAUCAUCUCCAAGACAAAAUUUUAAUGUUCAUCAAUUUUUGUUUAGCUCUAGUUUAGACUGACUCUAAACAGACUCUGACACUUAACUUAUUAUAAACUCACAAAAAGACUUUAUGACUUGUGGACCUUCAUGUGCCCACAUAUUUUUUGGUAUUUUUAUGACUAUAUAGACUCAAAAUCACUUAGGUAUAAUUACCUGAUAACUAGGGGAUGCUCCUCCCCCAAGCUGGAUGGUUGCAAUACUUGGUGUAGAUGUCCUUUAGAGUGAGCUAACCAGUAGCGGACCUGGUGGGUGCCCCUGAUAGAAUCUCUCCUUGCUAUAAUGUUAUUCCUGCAUAAAUACUCUCCACAAAGAGAAAUCAAAACUCGAGGCUCGAAUUUGUUUAAUGAGUUAGCGGUCAGCCAAAAAAUAAUUGAUCUCCUUUAUGAGCUAGCUUUAUUGUUGUCUAAUUUAAACAAGAUUUCAAUUUUUUCUUAUUUUUGAAUUUUCUAUUUAUGGUGCAGGAAUUUAAAUAUGAAUGCUAUUUUUUAUGCCACCAUAGUAAAUAUUCCUAAGGGGUUACCAUAAGUUUAUUCACAUAGGGCUUGCUAUUUAUGAUGUAGUAAUUAAAGCAGUAAAUAUUUGUUUGUAUUUUGUAUUAAUAUGCUAAGAGAAAUAAAUACGCUACUAGGUGUAUUAAAGCAAAAUUACUAAUGCAUCCUAACUUCACU
This 1674-nucleotide long non-coding RNA is filed under the name Sorghum bicolor (sorghum). RNAcentral describes it as "long non-coding RNA (SBIC_LNC014158)". Lineage: Eukaryota; Viridiplantae; Streptophyta; Magnoliopsida; Poales; Poaceae. The record is from RNAcentral.